RNAcentral lists this ribosomal RNA (633 nucleotides) under uncultured Arcobacter sp. RNAcentral describes it as "bacterial SSU rRNA". It matches the Rfam family "Bacterial small subunit ribosomal RNA", at positions 897 to 1533 of the family's 1533-position model. Lineage: Bacteria; Pseudomonadati; Campylobacterota; Epsilonproteobacteria; Campylobacterales; Arcobacteraceae. The record is from RNAcentral.
AAACUCAAAUGAAUUGACGGGGACCCGCACAAGCGGUGGAGCAUGUGGUUUAAUUCGACGAUACACGAAGAACCUUACCUGGACUUGACAUAGUAAGAACUUUCUAGAGAUAGAUUGGUGUCUGCUUGCAGAAACUUAUAUACAGGUGCUGCACGGCUGUCGUCAGCUCGUGUCGUGAGAUGUUGGGUUAAGUCCCGCAACGAGCGCAACCCUCGUCAUUAGUUGCUAACAGUUCGGCUGAGAACUCUAAUGAGACUGCCUACGCAAGUAGGAGGAAGGUGAGGACGACGUCAAGUCAUCAUGGCCCUUACGUCCAGGGCUACACACGUGCUACAAUGGGGUAUACAAAGAGCAGCAAUACAGUGAUGUGGAGCAAAUCUCAAAAAUAUCUCCCAGUUCGGAUUGUAGUCUGCAACUCGACUACAUGAAGUUGGAAUCGCUAGUAAUCGUAGAUCAGCUAUGCUACGGUGAAUACGUUCCCGGGUCUUGUACUCACCGCCCGUCACACCAUGGGAGUUGAACUCAUUCGAAGCGGGGAUGCUAAAGUAGCUACCUUCCACAGUGGAUUCAGCGACUGGGGUGAAGUCGUAACAAGGUAACCGUAGGAGAACCUGCGGUUGGAUCACCUCCUUU